AGGGUGUAAACGCUGCAGACUUGGUGUUGGAAGUCCUUUGGGGGCAUUCAGUGCCGGAGAGAAGUUGUUAAGUCUGCUACUUGGGGAGUACGUCCGCAAGGAUGAAACUUAAAGGAAUUGGCGGGGGAGCACCACAACGGGUGGAGCCUGCGGUUUAAUUGGACUCAACGCCGGAAAUCUCACCGGAUAGGACAGACAUAUGAUAGUCGGGCUGAAGACUCUACUUGAUGAUCUGAGAGGUGGUGCAUGGCGUAGACGUCU
This 261-nucleotide ribosomal RNA is filed under the name uncultured archaeon. RNAcentral's name for it is "partial 16S ribosomal RNA". It matches the Rfam family "Archaeal small subunit ribosomal RNA", at positions 748 to 1009 of the family's 1478-position model. The record is from RNAcentral.